AAUGACAGGUGAAAGACUUGUCGUUGUAAAGAGCGCUAGCCAGGUGUAUGUUUGAUUACAUAAGUGAUGUACCGCACUUAGGAAAUGAAGUGUCCGACAACACUUCCGAUUGACAAAACGUGCUGUUCUAUAGUUUCAGUUGACAGAAGUUCUUAACAACGUGAAUAACCAACUACAACCUUGAAUACAAAGUACAAGCUCAGACUGCAACUAGAAUGAGGCAGCAGCAUCGGCUCGUGCUGUGCAGCAGUCUGCUAAUCUGUACAAAUAAAAUGCCUCUUAUUUUUGGGAGCAUUGUACAAUCAGUCGGGAAACCUCAGAUCCAGCGGAUAUUUGGCUUUGAUGAAGUUUAACCUUCCGAAGAUGUAAUGGAGGUCUUGGAUUAUUAAAUCCAGGUGCAGUAUUCACACAGACAUAUAGGUGAUGGAAAGCGAUGGAGCAAACAUUAACAGAUGGAGAAUAUUACUUCCUGCUCAAGGACUUCAAGAAUGCUACUAUCACUGUGGAACUUUUCAGAAGCAAGCAGAAUACAGCCUCAUCUGAAUGUGGAAUGUGAUUCUGAACAUGGUUAUCUGUCAUAUCUCUGAAUUUACUCUUUUUCAGUUAUUUAUUAUCUGCUAUCUGUCCGUCUGUCUACCUAUGGCAGAGCUACUUGGUCAUGGAACAAGUUAGUAGACAGUAUACAAAAUGCCAAUUAGAAAAUUUGUAAAAUAAAAGAAUUA
Long non-coding RNA from Schistocerca nitens (vagrant locust), 722 nucleotides. RefSeq lists it as uncharacterized. The record is from RefSeq and is a predicted model, not a curated record. The transcript has 5 exons. Lineage: Eukaryota; Metazoa; Arthropoda; Insecta; Orthoptera; Acrididae.